Molecule: non-coding RNA, 114 nt
Filed under: Amorphochlora amoebiformis
Lineage: Eukaryota; Cercozoa; Chlorarachniophyceae
Source: RNAcentral
ACACAGAGAGAAAAAGGACAGACAUAUAAAUAUACGUAUGUACGUAUAUAUAUAUAUAUAUAUAUAUAUAUAUACGUACAUACGUAUAUUUAUAUGUCUGUCCUUUUUCUCUCU